This 376-nucleotide ribosomal RNA is filed under the name uncultured bacterium. Its description in RNAcentral is "bacterial SSU rRNA". It matches the Rfam family "Bacterial small subunit ribosomal RNA", at positions 524 to 898 of the family's 1533-position model. The record is from RNAcentral.
GACGGAGGGAGCAAGCGUUGUCCGGAAUUAUUGGGCGUAAAGCGCUCGUAGGCGGGAAUUUAAGUCCGGGAGUAAAUAAACAGGCUUAACCUGUUGAUCAUUCCGGAUACUGGAUUUCUUGAGGACAGGAGAGGAAAGCGGAAUUCCUAGUGUAGCGGUGAAAUGCGUAGAUAUUAGGAGGAACACCAGUGGCGAAGGCGGCUUUCUGGCCUGAUCCUGACGCUGAGGAGCGAAAGCCAGGGGAGCGAACGGGAUUAGAUACCCCGGUAGUCCUGGCUGUAAACGAUGGAUACUAGGUGUAGGAGGUAUCGACCCCUUCUGUGCCGCAGCUAACGCAAUAAGUAUCCCGCCUGGGGAGUACGGCCGCAAGGUUGAA